Molecule: ribosomal RNA, 305 nt
Filed under: uncultured bacterium
Lineage: Bacteria
Description: partial 16S ribosomal RNA
Rfam family: Bacterial small subunit ribosomal RNA
Source: RNAcentral
ACAGCAGCAGCCGCGGUAAUACGUAGGGUGCAAGCGUUAAUCGGAAUUACUGGGCGUAAAGCGUGCGCAGGCGGUUUUGUAAGACAGAGGUGAAAUCCCCGGGCUCAACCUGGGAACUGCCUUUGUGACUGCAAGGCUAGAGUACGGCAGAGGGGGAUGGAAUUCCGCGUGUAGCAGUGAAAUGCGUAGAUAUGCGGAGGAACACCGAUGGCGAAGGCAAUCCCCUGGGCCUGUACUGACGCUCAUGCACGAAAGCGUGGGGAGCAAACAGGAUUAGAUACCCCUGUAGUCCCUGUCUCUUAUAC